This 234-nucleotide unclassified non-coding RNA is filed under the name plant metagenome. Its description in RNAcentral is "partial contains small subunit ribosomal RNA, internal transcribed spacer 1, and 5.8S ribosomal RNA". The record is from RNAcentral.
UUUCCGUAGGUGAACCUGCGGAAGGAUCAUUAAAGUUAUAGUCCCCUGGCCCUCUGGGCUGGGGUCUUCUAUACCACCCUUUGUUUAUUACACCUUUGUUGCUUUGGCAGGCCUGCCCUCGGGCUGCUGGCUCCGGCCGGCUCGCGUCUGCCAGAGUGCCUAAACUCUGUUUGUAUAUGAAGUCUGAGUACUAUAUAAUAGUUAAAACUUUCAACAACGGAUCUCUUGGUUCUG